This 253-nucleotide unclassified non-coding RNA is filed under the name uncultured Phycisphaeraceae bacterium. RNAcentral describes it as "contains 16S-23S intergenic spacer region". It matches the Rfam family "Bacterial small subunit ribosomal RNA", at positions 524 to 776 of the family's 1533-position model. Lineage: Bacteria; Pseudomonadati; Planctomycetota; Phycisphaerae; Phycisphaerales; Phycisphaeraceae. The record is from RNAcentral.
UACAGAGGGCCCAAGCGUUGCGCGGAUUCAUUGGGCUUAAAGGGUGCGUAGGCGGAAAUGCAAGUGUUUUGUGAAAGCCCCCGGCUCAACCGGGGAAUUGCAGGGCAAACUGCAUUUCUUGAGGCUGGUAGGCGCCGCCGGAACUGUAGGUGUAGCGGUGAAAUGCGUAGAUAUCUACAGGAACGCCGAUGGUGAAGACGGGCGGCUAGGCCAGUUCUGACGCUGAUGCACGAAAGCGUGGGGAGCAAACAGG